RNAcentral lists this ribosomal RNA (357 nucleotides) under uncultured Desulfobulbus sp. Its description in RNAcentral is "bacterial SSU rRNA". It matches the Rfam family "Bacterial small subunit ribosomal RNA", at positions 1026 to 1382 of the family's 1533-position model. Lineage: Bacteria; Pseudomonadati; Thermodesulfobacteriota; Desulfobulbia; Desulfobulbales; Desulfobulbaceae. The record is from RNAcentral.
UCUGGAGGACAGGUGCUGCGAUGGCUGUCGUCAGCUCGUGUCGUGAGAUGUUGGGUUAAGUCCCGCAACGAGCGCAACCCUUGCCUUUAGUUGCCAGCAGUUCGGCUGGGCACUCUAAAGGGACUGCCGGUGUUAAACCGGAGGAAGGUGGGGAUGACGUCAAGUCCUCAUGGCCUUUAUGACCAGGGCUACACACGUACUACAAUGGCCGAUACAAAGGGCAGCGACACUGCGAGGUGAAGCCAAUCCCGUAAAAUCGGUCUCAGUCCGGAUUGGAGUCUGCAACUCGACUCCAUGAAGUUGGAAUCGCUAGUAAUCGUGGAUCAGUAUGCCACGGUGAAUACGUUCCCGGGCCUU